Molecule: long non-coding RNA, 430 nt
Organism: Haliotis rufescens (red abalone)
Lineage: Eukaryota; Metazoa; Mollusca; Gastropoda; Lepetellida; Haliotidae
Exons: 3
Source: RefSeq, a predicted model, not a curated record
GUUUAAAUACGAUGCUUGAUUCGGAAGACGAUCUCAACGUGUAAAGUAAACAAAGCGUCGUUCACGGGACACACGGAUACACAGCUUCCCCGCUGUGAGAUGGUCUCGCUCCCGUCUUUGAUCAGUCGAAAUACAAGUUUCAGACCAGGGAGAUGUGGAGCUAUAUAUAAGUGUGGUUGGUCUGAGGUAUCCCAUAUUGCAGUGACAGCACAUAGCACUCGAUCUAGAACACCGUCAUCCUGAUUUGUUCUACUAUGAGGCCCCUUGUCAAAGUCCUUGUCUCUGCCUUACUUUUUUUGGCGUCAGCUGCAUAUGCCGACGGCUGUUGUCAUCACCGACAUCACCGACACAGUCACCACCGUCACAGCAGCAGCAGCAGCGGCAGUGGCUCAAGCAAGUUCAAGAGUUUCUUUCCCUCAAGUUUCUCCAA